GGAGGGGUGGCCGAGUGGUCGAAGGCGGUCGACUCGAAAUCGAUUAGGCGGCUCAUACCCGUCUCGUGGGUUCAAAUCCCACCCUCUCCGCCA
Molecule: transfer RNA, 93 nt
Filed under: Aminobacterium colombiense
Lineage: Bacteria; Thermotogati; Synergistota; Synergistia; Synergistales; Aminobacteriaceae
Also listed under: 1 other name
Description: tRNA-Ser
Rfam family: tRNA
About the family: Transfer RNA (tRNA) molecules are approximately 80 nucleotides in length. Their secondary structure includes four short double-helical elements and three loops (D, anti-codon, and T loops). Further hydrogen bonds mediate the characteristic L-shaped molecular structure. tRNAs have two regions of fundamental functional importance: the anti-codon, which is responsible for specific mRNA codon recognition, and the 3' end, to which the tRNAs corresponding amino acid is attached (by aminoacyl-tRNA synthetases). tRNAs cope with the degeneracy of the genetic code in two manners: having more than one tRNA (with a specific anti-codon) for a particular amino acid; and 'wobble' base-pairing, i.e. permitting non-standard base-pairing at the 3rd anti-codon position.
Source: RNAcentral